AGAACGAACGCUGGCGGCAGGCCUAACACAUGCAAGUCGAACGCCCCGCAAGGGGAGUGGCAGACGGGUGAGUAACGCGUGGGAACGUGCCCUGAGGUACGGAACAACUCCGGGAAACUGGAGCUAAUACCGUAUGUGCCCGAAAGGGGAAAGAUUUAUCGCCUUGGGAUCGGCCCGCGUCUGAUUAGCUAGUUGGUAGGGUAACGGCCUACCAAGGCUACGAUCAGUAGCUGGUCUGAGAGGAUGACCAGCCACACUGGGACUGAGACACGGCCCAGACUCCUACGGGAGGCAGCAGUGGGGAAUAUUGGACAAUGGGCGAAAGCCUGAUCCAGCCAUGCCGCGUGAGUGAUGAAGGCCUUAGGGUUGUAAAGCUCUUUCGGUGGGGACGAUAAUGACGGUACCCGCAGAAGAAGCCCCGGCUAACUUCGCGCCAGCAGCCGC
Molecule: ribosomal RNA, 444 nt
Filed under: uncultured bacterium
Lineage: Bacteria
Description: SSU rRNA
Rfam family: Bacterial small subunit ribosomal RNA
Source: RNAcentral